Molecule: small nuclear RNA, 107 nt
Organism: Jaculus jaculus (lesser Egyptian jerboa)
Lineage: Eukaryota; Metazoa; Chordata; Mammalia; Rodentia; Dipodidae
Source: Ensembl
GUGCUCACUUCUGCAGCACAUAUGUUAAAAUUGGAAUGAUACAGAGAAGAUUAGCAUGGGCCCUUUGCAAGGAGGACAUGCAAGUUUGUGAAGCAUUCCAUACUUUU